AUUGAACGCUGGCGGCAUGCCUUACACAUGCAAGUCGAACGGUAACGCGGGGCAACCUGGCGACGAGUGGCGAACGGGUGAGUAACGCAUCGGAACGUGCCCAGUAGUGGGGGAUAGCCCGGCGAAAGCCGGAUUAAUACCGCAUACGACCUACGGGUGAAAGGGGGGGAUCGCAAGACCUCUCGCUAUUGGAGCGGCCGAUGUCAGAUUAGGUAGUUGGUGGGGUAAAGGCCCACCAAGCCUUCGAUCUGUAGCUGGUCUGAGAGGACGACCGGCCAGACUGGGACUGAGACACGGCCCAGACUCCUACGGGAGGCAGCAGUGGGGAAUUUUGGACAAUGGGCGCAAGCCUGAUCCAGCCAUGCCGCGUGCGGGAAGAAGGCCUUCGGGUUGUAAACCGCUUUUGUCAGGGAAGAAACGCUCUGGGCUAAUACCCCGGGGUAAUGACGGUACCUGAAGAAUAAGCACCGGCUAACUACGUGCCAGCCGCCGCCGUAA
RNAcentral lists this ribosomal RNA (498 nucleotides) under uncultured bacterium. RNAcentral's name for it is "partial 16S ribosomal RNA". It matches the Rfam family "Bacterial small subunit ribosomal RNA", at positions 29 to 523 of the family's 1533-position model. The record is from RNAcentral.